Molecule: ribosomal RNA, 1767 nt
Filed under: Triticum aestivum (bread wheat)
Lineage: Eukaryota; Viridiplantae; Streptophyta; Magnoliopsida; Poales; Poaceae
Description: partial small subunit ribosomal RNA
Source: RNAcentral
AUGCUAGGCAUGAUGAGUCGCCAACAGCAGCAUGCACCUCUUAGGACUUCAGCCAACGGAGCCCCCCACCGGAAGCUUGAUAGGGAGGGUAGUGGAAGGCAUGAUAGUAAAUCACACCUGAUGAGAUCUUCAUCUGGUGGUUUUACCAGUGCAGAAAAUGGAGGCAAACUUGGGCAUGCAAACCCUUCACGGGAUCGACUAGUCUAUGUUAUGACACAAAUUAUUGGGCAUCAUGUGGAUGUGCAUGUCAAAAAUGGAUCUGUUAUCUCUGGAAUCUUCCAUGCAACAAACACCGAUAAAGACUUUGGAAUUAUCUUAAAAAUGGCACAGCCGAUAAAGGAUACUUCUGUGGGAGGACAAAUUAAUACCUCUGAUGUUGUAAGAAAGCCGGAGACUAUGAUAAUACCAGCACGGGAGCUUGUUCAAGUUUUUGCCAAGGACGUAACACUAGGCGGUGAUGAACUGCCAAAAGGCCCUGUCCAUGACAAAAGGAAAGACUUGAUGAUAGAUUCUGCCAUCUCUCGUUCUCAUUUCCCUGAAGAGAGGGAGCUUGAACGCUGGGCACCAGAUGAAGGGGAUUCAGACUGCAUUGAAUUGGAAAAAUUUGACAGAAAGGGACAUAGGAGCUGGGACCAGUUUGAGACAAAUGCAGCUUUGUUUGGGGUAAAGAGUACUUUCAAUGAAGAUCUUUAUACCACAAAGCUUGAGCGAGGUCCUCAUAUGAGAGAGCUUGAAAAGCAUGCUUCAAGGAUAGCACGAGAAAUAGAGGGUGAAGAUACAGAAGAUCUUCAUCUUGCUGAGGAAAGAGGUUUAUACUUGGAUGAAGAUUUGGAGCAUGAUGAAGAGAUCAAAUAUUCUGCAGUUCGGAGGGAUACUGAUACCACAGUUAAACCCUUCACAAAUGUCCCAAGCAGGCCCGUUAGCAUUGAUACCAAGGAUUUGCCAGUGUGUUCAUCAACAAUGGAUGACAAAUCAUCUUCCCAUAUAUCUGGUGGUACUCAUUUGUCUGCCACUGCUGAAUACCAGUCAAACAAGCUUUUGCCUGCUGAUGCCAACAGGUUGGAUGGUAAGAGAAGUAAAGAUAGUAGCGGUGACAAAGACAACAGGAUCUUGCAACCCGAGAAUACUUUACCUGAAGGGGGCAGGCCGCUGAUUUCUGAAGAUUUGGAAGGAGCACCUUCAAGGUCGCGUGCGUCUGAGCCUUCAUCUUCUGGCCAAGGAAACAAGCCAUCAGAUGGUUUGGCACAAGAUUCGACUCUACCCAGCAAACUUCCUUCUGCGCCUGAAUAUGCGAAUUCUUCUCAAAGACCUGGCAGUUCUACACCAUUAACAUCCGAGCGUGUUGCUGCGAACUCAGCUGCGAGUGCUGCUCCAGGCUUAUCACCAAGUUCUUCGAUGGGAUCUCUUAGCUCAGACAAAUCAAGUUUGAACCCAAACGCUAAGGAAUUCAAAUUGAACCCUAAUGCUAAGAGUUUCACUCCCUUGACUUCUCCGAGGCCACAUCACCCUCCAGCGCCUGAUGCAACAUACUAUUAUCCUAAUAACAUGGGGGCUACUGGACCUGGUUUGCCAGUUGGCAUGGGGUUCCCACAGGCGUAUGGUGGACAGCCUGUUGUUUACAAUGCUCAGCCUGGAUCUUCUCCCCAGGGUUACAUGCAUCCUUCUGGGCAACAGUAUGGGCAGCAAAUGAUGAUGGGACAGACCCGCCCUGUCUAUUAUUAUGCACCUGAGAUGCAGCAGCAGCAAUACAGAGGAAGGAACUUCUAG